CGGAACGUGCCCAGUAGCGGGGGAUAACUACGCAAAAGCGUAGCUAAUACCGCAUACGCCCUUCGGGGGAAAGCAGGGGAUCGCAAGACCUUGCACUAUUGGAGCGGCCGAUAUCGGAUUAGCUAGUUGGUGAGGUAAUGGCUCACCAAGGCCGCGAUCCGUAGCUGGUUUGAGAGGACGACCAGCCACACUGGGACUGAGACACGGCCCAGACUCCUACGGGAGGCAGCAGUGGGGAAUUUUGGACAAUGGGGGAAACCCUGAUCCAGCCAUCCCGCGUGUGCGAUGAAGGCCUUCGGGUUGUAAAGCACUUUUGGCAGGAAAGAAACGGCGCGUGCUAAUACCAUGCGCAACUGACGGUACCUGCAGAAUAAGCACCGGCUAACUACGUGCCAGCAGCCGCGGUAAUACGUAGGGUGCAAGCGUUAAUCGGAAUUACUGGGCGUAAAGCGUGCGCAGGCGGUUCGGAAAGAAAGAUGUGACAUCCCAGGGCUCAACCUUGGAACUGCAUUUUUAACUACCGGACUAGAGUAUGUCAGAGGGAGGUGGAAUUCCACGU
This 559-nucleotide ribosomal RNA is filed under the name uncultured bacterium. RNAcentral's name for it is "bacterial SSU rRNA". It matches the Rfam family "Bacterial small subunit ribosomal RNA", at positions 119 to 674 of the family's 1533-position model. The record is from RNAcentral.